GGGUCGGGAGGAGUUGCUUUGUCGGCGUGUAGAUCUCCUCUUCCCGCGCGGAGGAGUCUGUGGUUUCGUCUCAUCUCCCAGACCCUAUACGUUGUUGAUUGGGAGCGUCAGCUUUGAGCAAGUGCGCCCGCACAUUUCAGCGGAAAAGACUAAAGACUAGAUUGGAAGAAGAGAGAGUAGAAGCUAUGUUUCGAAGACCUGUAGUACAGGUACUUCGUCAGUUUGUAAGACAUGAGUCUGAAGUAGCUAGCAGUUUGGUUCUCGAAAGAUCUCUGAAUCGCGUGCAGUUGCUUGGUCGAGUAGGUCAGGACCCUGUCAUGAGACAGGUAGAAGAAAAAACCCAGUCACGAUAUUUUCCCUAGCAACAAACGAGAUGUGGCGAUCAGGGGAAAACGAAACCUACCAAAUGGGUGAUGUCAGUCAGAAGACAACAUGGCAUAGAAUCUCAGUGUUCCUACCAGGCCUCAGAGAUGUGGCGUAUCAGUACGUGAAGAAGGGGUCUCGAAUUUAUGUGGAAGGGAAAGUAGACUAUGGUGAAUAUACGGAUAAAAACAAUGUGAGACGACAAGCAACAACAAUUAUAGCUGAUAAUAUUAUAUUUCUGAGUGACCAGAUGAAAGAGAAGCCGUAGACUGGACGAUCCUUCUCUGGCCGGUGUUUGGUACAGUCUCAUUUCCAAAUCAUGCUAGUGUUUAUAGUUUCUAAGGACAAGAAUUAAAAUCCUGUUCAUUAUA
Molecule: RNA transcript, 734 nt
Organism: Capra hircus (goat)
Lineage: Eukaryota; Metazoa; Chordata; Mammalia; Artiodactyla; Bovidae
Gene name: single-stranded DNA-binding protein, mitochondrial pseudogene
Exons: 1
Source: RefSeq, a predicted model, not a curated record